Molecule: long non-coding RNA, 1218 nt
Organism: Cornus florida
Lineage: Eukaryota; Viridiplantae; Streptophyta; Magnoliopsida; Cornales; Cornaceae
Exons: 4
Source: RefSeq, a predicted model, not a curated record
AUUUAGGGCAAAUCAUUUCAGCCUCCCCAAUCGCCUCCAUCUCUAUUCUCCGUCUCAGAUCUGAACUUGCCCCCCUCUCUCUAUCUGCAACUGCAGACUACAAAAUCUACAAGAAUAAGUUCAAAACCCAUAUAUUUCAGUUUAUCUAUCUGUCUGCAAGAAUCAAAAGUUCAGAAUCUAUUACCUAUAUCAAAACCCAUAUCUUUCAGUUUCCAUCGCCCGCUGCCCCAGUUCGGGUUCGCCGUUUGCAAUCAUCAGCCGCUGGCCCGCUGUCUCUCAACUCUCAAGCUUGCCCCCCUCUCUCUCUGCAACUGCUAACUUGGUUAGCAUGGGGCCUUAACAUUUAGGAAGAACAAGGUUCAAGAAACAUGCCUCCUCAGUCAUCAGGUGUCUUUUCUGAAAGAAGAGAGUUGAAGGGAAUAGGUGGAAUAGGGAAAAAGAAAAAAAAAAAAAAAUGGUGGUGAAAUGCGCAGUAUGUCGACACAAGGGGAAGCAAUGCAUGGCUGGAUCCUCUAUAUACGAACAAUUCUUGUGUGAAACCACUCACGCACAAUGUUGUCAAAAAUGUCUUCACUGUCGACGUCUUCUCAAGGUGGCUUACCAAUGCCGAAAUUCCUCCCCGCAGGGAUGCCUUGACUCGACAGGCAAGCGAAGUCAUCCGGGAUUCGGUCAAUGCUUGGACAAGCAUUGAUCGGAAUAGAGCUGCAGUUGCAAUUCGAGCAACACGAAUCCAAGUGCUUGAAGCUAUGGUGGAGGAGCGGGAUAGAAUGUUGGAAGGAGCUUGAAGCUCAAUGAUUCGGAAGGACAAGGCAAUGGCAGCUGUACAAAUUGCGAUGAAACAUAAAUUUGCAGAACGUGAAGCAAGUGAGGUUGCAAGGGCUGGAGAAGCCAGCUGGAACAUUUGCUACUGAAGCUGCAGCAGUCGCAGUUAACACAGGCUGGAGCUGGAGCUGGAGCUGGAGCUGGAGAUGGAGAUGGAGCUGGAGAUGGAGCUAAUCUGUUUUGCAGUCGAAGAUAUAGUUGUCAAAAAAAAUAGGUGGAACACAGGCUGGAGAUGGAGCUGGAGCUAAUGAGUAGCCUUAUGUUUUUGUUUGUUUAGUAAAGCUAGGUAUUCCUGUUCUGUUUUGCAGUCUUAGAGAGAAGAUAUAGUUGUCAAAAAAAAUAGGUUGUAAAAAAAAAAGAGAAAUUCAAUCAUUGAUAUGAGUUUUAUUGUUCUUA